RNAcentral lists this long non-coding RNA (1938 nucleotides) under Callithrix jacchus (white-tufted-ear marmoset). RNAcentral describes it as "lncRNA (ENSCJAG00000072207.1)". Lineage: Eukaryota; Metazoa; Chordata; Mammalia; Primates; Cebidae. The record is from RNAcentral.
UGGAAAAAUUGCAAACUUUUUACUUCCUGGUCUUUAAAAAAUUUGUUUUCCUCAUCUUACCUCAGAACCAACACUAUAAUUUCUAUUUAUGAUACUGUAAAUUUCCUGUCUUCAUUGGGGCACAAGAACCCAAUAUUUAUUUCUUAUUUUAUAUCUAUUAGAUUUUUCAUUUUCCCAGGGUGGAAGGGCAACCCAAGUCGGUGGGAUGGAGAGUGUGAAAAAAUAAUAUCCGAGAGUCUUGAUUUUUCUGGCCAUUUGAGCAUCUCUCAGCCCUGUGUACCUGGAGUCCUUUGCCUGGAUUCUUUAGAGUUUCACUCCAUUGUACACAGCUUUGCACUUAGCCAAAGUCUCAAGGAGACCUGUACUCAAACAUCUAAAGCUGUUUUUCUGGCUGGCACCCUUCUUUCCUGUGCUCUGCCCCACAAAUUCCAGCCACCUCAGCCUCCCCCAAACUGACAUCUCUCCUCCACUCAAAAUAUCACCAUGUUCUUCCUGCACUAAGACCCAGAAAAGUACCUACAGACCAAAAAGCAGAUGUUUAAACUGAUCACUUUUGUUUCCUUUUACCAAGGAUCACUCUCCUAAUCUCUUGCCCAGUAUCUAAAAAUGCUUAAUAUAUUUUGUAUGGGUUCUAUUUGUUUCACUGGGAAAGCCAGCCCAGUGCCAGUUACUCCAUCAUUGCUAGAAGUAGAAUGGUAGGAAAAUCUUUGGUAAAUUUUGCUGAAUUUCCCUUCAAGGAGAUUGUACAAAUUAUCACCUCCACCAAUUCUGUAUGAUAGUGAGUACUUACUUUUCUACCCAUUGUCAAAACUGAGUUGCACUAACUAUUUAAACAUUUCUCCACAUUUUUCCAUUUUGGGGUGAUAGCACUUUAUUUUUAUAAUUCUUUGACUAUGAGCUAGGUUCAAUAUUUUUGCAAAUGUUAUCAGUUAUUUUAUGUAUUUUUCUUUGCCAAUUUGUGCAUCUUGGAUAUUUUUCCAUUAUAUUGUUUCUUUUAAAUUGACCUGUCAGCCUUCUUUUUAUAUUUAUUCAACUAUUCAUUCAACCAUUAAACAAAUACUUAUUGUAUACUGGCUAUGUUUCAGGCCCUGUUUUUAGUGCUGAGGACCCAGCAGUAUGUUGACUAUACACUGAUGAAUUUUAUAUUAUAAUGAGUAAAGAGGAGAGACAGAAUUAAUAUAAAUACAUUUGCUACAUUAAGUGAGUAUGAAGAAAAAGUAAGGUAUGGAAAAUUCAGUACAGUGAAAAGAUAUCAUGAGGAGGGUCUUCUGUUUUAUAUAAGAUUAGAGAGAAAGGUUCUUUGACAGGUUAUAUUUAAGCGAAGACUUGAAUAAACGGCAGGAAAGUGGCUAUCUGGAGGAGAGCAUCCCAUUGGAUCAAAUAGCCUGAACAAAUGUUGUCAAAUGAUUGUUGCCUGUCUCACUGAAAUAAUUGCAAAGGGCUAUGGCUAUGGCUAUGUCUAUGCUACAGCUGAAAGGGAAAGAGAGGAGAGGUGGGGUAGCUGAUGUGGGUCAAUCAGUUAGCAGGGGAAGGUAUCUAGUUACAUAUAACUUGGUGGGAAAUUGUGAAUUUAUUGUUCAUUCAUUGGAUUAAAAUGGGACACCAUUGGAGGAUAUGUGCAGAAGAUGGACAGAACUCACUUUUAUUUAUAAAGGAUCUCUCUGGUACUGUAAGGGAUCAAUAACUCGCUUUCAUUUAUAAAGGAUCUCUCUGAUACCUUAAGGGAUCAAGAAGGAAACAGGAACAGUUGUCAUGUGUCUCAAAACAUUAUUGAAAAACCUAAUAUUAAUUGCAUUAUACUGUAGUGUUACCUUUAUUAUCUACUAAAUUCUCAGAUGCAUUUGGAUUUUUUGGUUCUUUUCCUUGGAUCUCUCAGUUAUUUGCCUUUAACUUGUCUAUAUUAUUGUUAAGAUUAAAUUUCAUCUUAAUAUCUAGUAG